This 52-nucleotide microRNA precursor is filed under the name Felis catus (domestic cat). RNAcentral describes it as "mir-1302 microRNA precursor family". It matches the Rfam family "mir-1302 microRNA precursor family". Lineage: Eukaryota; Metazoa; Chordata; Mammalia; Carnivora; Felidae. The record is from Rfam by way of RNAcentral. RNAcentral also lists the same sequence under 4 other names.
AUUUUUGUGUAAGUAUAUCCCAUGUAAUGUUUGGGAUAUACUUAUACUAAAA